CCUACGGGAGGCAGCAGUGAGGAAUAUUGGUCAAUGGACGCAAGUCUGAACCAGCCAAGUAGCGUGCAGGAUGACGGCCCUCCGGGUUGUAAACUUCUUUUAUCUGGGAGUCAAUUGCAGUCUUUAUACUGCUUUGCAUGUACCUUAUGAAUAAGGCUCGUCUAACUCCGUGCCCACAGCCGCGGUACUACGGGGGAUCCGAGCGUUAUCCGGAUUUAUUGGGUGUAAAGGGAGCGUCGGGCGGUUGUUAAGGCGGGUGUGAAAGUGUGCGGCCAAACCGGAAAAAUGCAGUUGAUACUGGGAGCCUAGAGUAAAGGAGAGGUAGGCGGAAUUCGUGGUGUAGCGGUGAAAUGCUUAGAUAGCACGAAGAACUCCGAUUGCGAAGGCAGCCUGCUGGACUGUAACUGACGCUGAGGCACGAAAGCGUGGGGAUCAAACAGGAUUAGAUACCCCUGUAGUC
This 460-nucleotide ribosomal RNA is filed under the name uncultured bacterium. RNAcentral describes it as "partial 16S ribosomal RNA". It matches the Rfam family "Bacterial small subunit ribosomal RNA", at positions 338 to 795 of the family's 1533-position model. The record is from RNAcentral.